UCCUGUGUUGUGGUGAAGUCCUUAGGACUAUUUAGACUCGACAAAGGAGGAUUUGUCGCUUAGUCCUUAAAUAUGUUCGUGACCAAAUGAUACAUUGUUAUCAAGGACGACAACGUUUAUCGAGCAUAGGUCGUUGUAUGCCAUAUGGGUUGGUUGUCCUCAUAACCAAAGAGUGUGGAGACACUGGUAUGGCAUACAGGUG
RNAcentral lists this long non-coding RNA (202 nucleotides) under Elaeis guineensis (African oil palm). RNAcentral describes it as "long non-coding RNA (EGUI_LNC013141)". The record is from RNAcentral. Lineage: Eukaryota; Viridiplantae; Streptophyta; Magnoliopsida; Arecales; Arecaceae.